Molecule: ribosomal RNA, 253 nt
Filed under: uncultured bacterium
Lineage: Bacteria
Description: partial 16S ribosomal RNA
Rfam family: Bacterial small subunit ribosomal RNA
Source: RNAcentral
UACAGAGGUCCCGAGCGUUGUUCGGAUUCAUUGGGCGUAAAGGGUGCGUAGGCGGCGGGGCAAGUCUGAUGUGAAAUCCCGGGGCUCAACCCCGGAACUGCAUUGGAUACUGCCUUGCUAGAGUACUGGAGAGGGAACUGGAAUUUACGGUGUAGCAGUGAAAUGCGUAGAGAUCGUAAGGAAGGCCAGUGGCGAAGGCGGCUACCUGGACAAUUGCUGACGCUCAGGCACGAAAGCGUGGGGAGCAAAAGGG